This 301-nucleotide ribosomal RNA is filed under the name uncultured bacterium. RNAcentral's name for it is "partial 16S ribosomal RNA". It matches the Rfam family "Bacterial small subunit ribosomal RNA", at positions 509 to 807 of the family's 1533-position model. The record is from RNAcentral.
CAGUCGCCGCGGUAAUACGAACCGUGCGAACGUUAUUCGGAAUCACUGGGCUUAAAGCGCGUGUAGGUGGGUGGGUACGUCCGUCGUUGAAAGCCCCCGGCUCAACCGGGGAACUGGCGCGGAUACGGCCUACCUGGAGGGACGUAGGGGGACCUGGAACUUCCGGUGGAGCUGUGAAAUGCGUUGAGAUCGGAAGGAACGCCCGUGGCGAAAGCGAGGUCCUGGACGUUUUCUGACACUGAGACGCGAAAGCCAGGGGAGCGAACGGCAUUAGAUACCCCCGUAGUCCCUGUCUCUUAUA